GCUGGAAGACUGCGAAAAGGGUAGAGGAAGAAUGCUCCCUUCCCAAUGAGAGCAAAAACUGAGACAUUGUUGUUUCAUCCCCGCCAGGCUGCACGAACUACCCGGAACUACCAUCCAGGGGCCGGGCUGCCAGACGGGUCCAAGUGGACAUUCCUGUCAAGCUUUCUAACCUCAGAAGCGGCAGAAACAACAGACUUUGGAUCAAGACAGUGGAACCCUGGGGGAGAAGACACAGCCCCUGUCUUCCAGAAGCUUCUAAUCUGAGACAAGUGCCUAU
RNAcentral lists this long non-coding RNA (277 nucleotides) under Felis catus (domestic cat). Its description in RNAcentral is "lncRNA (ENSFCAG00000052105.1)". The record is from RNAcentral. Lineage: Eukaryota; Metazoa; Chordata; Mammalia; Carnivora; Felidae.